Molecule: small nuclear RNA, 103 nt
Organism: Eublepharis macularius
Lineage: Eukaryota; Metazoa; Chordata; Lepidosauria; Squamata; Eublepharidae
Source: RefSeq, a predicted model, not a curated record
UGCUUGCUUGGGCGGCACAUACAUAAAACUGGAAUGAUACAGAAGAUUAGUGUGGCCCCUGAACAAGAACAACAUACAAAUUCAUGAAAUACUGCAAAUAUUU